This 233-nucleotide ribosomal RNA is filed under the name uncultured bacterium. RNAcentral describes it as "partial 16S ribosomal RNA". It matches the Rfam family "Bacterial small subunit ribosomal RNA", at positions 99 to 334 of the family's 1533-position model. The record is from RNAcentral.
CGGACGGGGGAGUAAUGUCUGGGAAACGUGCCCGAUGGAGGGGGGUAACUACUGGAAACGGUAGCUAAUACCGCAUAACGUCGCAAGACCAAAGAGGGGGACCUUCGGGCCUCUUGCCAUCGGAUGUGCCCAGAUGGGAUUAGCUAGUAGGUGGGGUAACGGCUCACCUAGGCGACGAUCCCUAGCUGGUCUGAGAGGAUGACCAGCCACACUGGAACUGAGACACGGUCCAG